RNAcentral lists this ribosomal RNA (240 nucleotides) under uncultured bacterium. RNAcentral's name for it is "partial 16S ribosomal RNA". It matches the Rfam family "Bacterial small subunit ribosomal RNA", at positions 281 to 524 of the family's 1533-position model. The record is from RNAcentral.
GAUUCGCCCGCCGCGCGCGGCGGGCGGGGCGGGGGCACGGGGGGACUCUACGGGAGGCAGCAGUGGGGAAUUUUGGACAAUGGGCGCAAGCCUGAUCCAGCAAUGCCGCGUGAGUGAAGAAGGCCUUCGGGUUGUAAAGCUCUUUUGUCAGGGAAGAAACGGUAGGAGCUAAUAUCUCUUGCUAAUGACGGUACCUGAAGAAUAAGCACCGGCUAACUACGUGCCAGCAGCCGCGGUAAU